RNAcentral lists this ribosomal RNA (406 nucleotides) under Enterobacter sp. Z10_1. RNAcentral describes it as "bacterial SSU rRNA". It matches the Rfam family "Bacterial small subunit ribosomal RNA", at positions 20 to 424 of the family's 1533-position model. Lineage: Bacteria; Pseudomonadati; Pseudomonadota; Gammaproteobacteria; Enterobacterales; Enterobacteriaceae. The record is from RNAcentral.
UGGCUCAGAUUGAACGCUGGCGGCAGGCCUAACACAUGCAAGUCGAACGGUAGCACAGAGAGCUUGCUCUCGGGUGACGAGUGGCGGACGGGUGAGUAAUGUCUGGGAAACUGCCUGAUGGAGGGGGAUAACUACUGGAAACGGUAGCUAAUACCGCAUAACGUCGCAAGACCAAAGAGGGGGACCUUCGGGCCUCUUGCCAUCAGAUGUGCCCAGAUGGGAUUAGCUAGUAGGUGGGGUAACGGCUCACCUAGGCGACGAUCCCUAGCUGGUCUGAGAGGAUGACCAGCCACACUGGAACUGAGACACGGUCCAGACUCCUACGGGAGGCAGCAGUGGGGAAUAUUGCACAAUGGGCGCAAGCCUGAUGCAGCCAUGCCGCGUGUAUGAAGAAGGCCUUCGGGUU